AUGAACUUUAUUGUAUUUAUCCUAGUGGAUCUAUUGUUAAACGGGUAAACUAGCAGUAGCUAUUUGUUUUGUGCUUUGGCUAAGUUAAUUAUGUCUUCUUCACACCAAUAAAUUUUACUAUAUAUAUCUUGUCUUUUUAGUUUUUUGCUAAAGAAAAUAGUGUUUCUUAUCGAAAAUUUUAGAAAUUCCCAUUUUUGUACAGCUGUUUGAAGAUUAUUAUCUUUUUUAGUGUCCCUUAUCAUUUUCUUUAUGCCGUCACAAUGUUCCCUAUUUUCUAGUAGACUAUUAUUCAAUUUCCAGUAAUCUCUAAUAUUUUUUUUCUUCUUGUAAACAUGUUAUGUUUAAAUUAACUACACAGUGAUCUGUUAAGGGUCUACUUGAUAUUGUUGAAGAACAUUUAUAGUCUGCUACUGCAUUAGAUAUUAGCCAAUAGUCAUUUCUUGAGGACGCCUGACCAUUAGGUUUUCUCCAAGUGAAGGAUCUAGGCUGUUUUUGAAUCGCCCAAACAGGACGUGACCAGCCGUCCAAUUGCUGACAAGAAUAUCAAAGGGUAGGAAUGGGAAUGUAUCCAAUCAGCGUCGACGUUGUUUCAGAAGCAUGAUGGGCGAUGGAGCUACCGCCAAAGGAUUCGUUGGUGUUCGGUAGAACUCGGCAGAGUCGUUUUUGGUCGUGACGCAGAUGUAACAUGGACGCUGCCGGUGACUACAACCAGCAUGGAUACCGGAUCUCAGCAGCCACUGAAUUCAGUUCGGUCUCUUCUCCAGUAUCCGUUCGAGAGGAGAACUAUGGUGGAAAAACUUAAUGUCAAAGAGCUUGGACCAGAUCAGCCCGACGUAUAAGCCAGCAGGAGAAGGAGAGAGAUAAGGCAUGGAUGAGUCAGGAGUUACAGACAUGAAACAUUUUUCUGAGAAGGUGAAGAAACACGAGUCAUCCCGGGCACACAUGGACAACAACACGGUGAAGCUAGCCAUGCUAGGCAGCAGAGCUAACGUUGCCAUGCAGGGAACAACAGCAGCUGGGUGCAGAGGUAAGCUGUACAUUACAUUUCUGUGAACAAGACAAUCAGAAUCAGAAAUCCUUGGUUGUCCCACAAACCGGGACAUUUGUUUAAUAACAUGUUUAAUGUGCAAUAACUGUAAAAACUAAUUUCAACACACAUACUUAUUAUACAUAUUUAAUCACGUAAAUGUGUAUUUCAUGUAAAUUUGUACAUACAUCAAUCUGAUUCCAGUUUACUUGUUACACUUCUGCUGCAGCAAACAAAUUUCCCAGCUUUUGGGACAAUUAAACAUUUCUGAUUCUCAAUUAGAUGUUUUUACCUCAAAUGUAAAAACAUCUGAUUGAGAAUCAGAAAUGUUUUAUUGUCCCAAAAACUGGGAAAUAUGACAUUUGUAAGAGGAUACUGAUGACAUUAUUUCCUAUGAAAGUGUUUCCUAUGUACUUAUCUGUUGUUUUUUAUUUAUCUACUUUAAAGAGGAUUAAGACUUUCCUUGAGGAACACCAUGACACAGGAUGGGCUGAAUGCUCUUGCCAUGCUCUCCAUGGAAAAAAAAGCUUGUCACAAACAUUCCUGACUUCAAUAAAAAGCUCAUCGAGAGCUUUGCCACUCAGAAGGACAGAAGGGCAAAAUUUCUGUACAAAUGAGGUAUCACACACACACACACACACACACACACACACACACA
This is a non-coding RNA of Nothobranchius furzeri (turquoise killifish), 1685 nucleotides long. Lineage: Eukaryota; Metazoa; Chordata; Actinopteri; Cyprinodontiformes; Nothobranchiidae. The record is from RefSeq and is a predicted model, not a curated record.